This 485-nucleotide ribosomal RNA is filed under the name uncultured bacterium. RNAcentral's name for it is "bacterial SSU rRNA". It matches the Rfam family "Bacterial small subunit ribosomal RNA", at positions 328 to 793 of the family's 1533-position model. The record is from RNAcentral.
CGCUAUCACUCCUACGGGGAGGCAGCAGUGGGGAAUAUUGCACAAUGGGGGAAACCCUGAUGCAGCCAUGCCGCGUGUGUGAAGAAGGCCUUCGGGUUGUAAAGCACUUUCAGUAGGGAGGAAGGUAGUGUAGUUAAUACCUGCAUUAUUUGACGUUACCUACAGAAGAAAGCACCGGCUAACUCCGUGCCAGCAGCCGCGGUAAUACGGAGGGUGCGAGCGUUAAUCGGAAUUACUGGGCGUAAAGCGCAUGCAGGCGGCCUGUUAAGUCAGAUGUGAAAGACCCGGGGCCGUUAACCUACGGUAAGUUGCAUUUAGUAAACUGGCAGGCUAGAGUCUUGUAGAGGGGGGUAGGAAUUUCAGGUGUAGCGGUGAAAAUGCGUAGAGAUCUGAAGGAAUACCAGUGGCGAAGGCGGCCCCCUGGACAAAGACUGACGCUCAGAUGCGAAAGCGUGGGGAGCAAACAGGAUUAGAUACCCUGGUAG